AUGGGGUUAGCGUAAGCGAAGCUCUUGAUCGAAGCCCCAGUAAACGGCGGCCGUAACUAUAACGGUCCUAAGGUAGCGAAAUUCCUUGUCGGGUAAGUUCCGACCUGCACGAAUGGCAUAAUGAUGGCGGCGCUGUCUCCAGCAGAGACUCAGUGAAAUCGAAAUCGCCGUGAAGAUGCGGUGUACCCGCGGCUAGACGGAAAGACCCCGUGAACCUUUACUGCAGCUUGACAUUGAACUUUGAUCUUACUUGUGUAGGAUAGGUGGGAGGCUUUGAAACCAGGACGCUAGUUCUGGUGGAGCCAAUCUUGAAAUACCACCCUGGUAAUAUUGAGGUUCUAACUCUGCUCCAUAAUCUGGAGCGAGGACCAUGUCUGGUGGGUAGUUUGACUGGGGCGGUCUCCUCCUAAAGAGUAACGGAGGAGUACGAAGGUGCGCUCAGCGUGGUCGGAAAUCACGCGUAGAGUAUAAAGGCAAAAGCGCGCUUAACUGCGAGACCCACAAGUCGAGCAGGUACGAAAGUAGGUCUUAGUGAUCCGGUGGUUCUGUAUGGAAGGGCCAUCGCUCAACGGAUAAAAGGUACUCUGGGGAUAACAGGCUGAUACCGCCCAAGAGUUCAUAUCGACGGCGGUGUUUGGCACCUCGAUGUCGGCUCAUCUCAUCCUGGGGCUGAAGCAGGUCCCAAGGGUAUGGCUGUUCGCCAUUUAAAGAGGUACGCGAGCUGGGUUUAGAACGUCGUGAGACAGUUCGGUCCCUAUCUACCGUGGGCGUUGGAAAUUUGAGAGGAUCUGCUCCUAGUACGAGAGGACCAGAGUGGACGAACCUCUGGUGUACCGGUUGUGACGCCAGUCGCAUCGCCGGGUAGCUAUGUUCGGAAGGGAUAACCGCUGAAAGCAUCUAAGCGGGAAGCCUACCUCAAGAUAAGAUUUCCCAAGGACUUUAUGUCCUCUAAAGAGCCGUUGAAGACUACGACGUUGAUAGGUUGGAUGUGGAAGUGCAGUGAUGCAUGAAGCUGACCAAUACUAAUUGCUCGUGAGGCUUGACUUG
This 1047-nucleotide ribosomal RNA is filed under the name freshwater metagenome. RNAcentral describes it as "bacterial LSU rRNA". It matches the Rfam family "Bacterial large subunit ribosomal RNA", at positions 1884 to 2925 of the family's 2925-position model. The record is from RNAcentral.